AGUGGUGACAAUGUUUCCCGUAGGUGAACCUGCGGAAGGAUCACUGAAUCUAUCAAUAACCACACCGUGAACCUCUUUGUCUGGCCCAUCAUUCCCUUCUGGGGUUUGGUGCUUCCCGGGCAGCAUUAACUUGCUGCUUGGGUUGGGCUCGGCUGUCCAUUCACUCUGGGCAGUCGGGUUGGUCCUUAACCAACCAACAACACCAAUCCAAAACUAAAGCCAAAGAUAUGUGCUCGGCCUAGCCGUCACAUCCUAACUGAGACAACUCUCAACAACGGAUAUCUUGGCUCUCGCAACGAUGAAGAACGCAGCGAAAUGCGAUACGUAGUGUGAAUUGCAGAAUUCCGUGAAUCAUCAAAUCUUUGAACGCACAUUGCGCCCGAAGCUUCGGCUUAGGGCAUGUUUGCCUCAGCGUCGGGUUAAUCUCACUCCCCACCUCCCAUAGUGUGAAGUCGGGUAAGUGGAUCUGGCUGUUCCAGAACUUGAGUGCUCCGUCUGGGCGUCCCUCCUAAGCUCUGGAUCAGCUGAAGAGUAGAGGCUAGCUCAAGGACCCGUCAAGGGCCGCAACUGGGUAGGCAGCUCACGCUUGCUAUUUCUAGUUGUUGGCUUGGGACCAUGGGCUUGGCCCUCAAACAGGAACCUCUUUUUUUUCUCGACCUGAGCUCAAGCAAGACCACCCGCUGAACUUAAG
Molecule: ribosomal RNA, 691 nt
Filed under: Dunaliella sp. AKS-21
Lineage: Eukaryota; Viridiplantae; Chlorophyta; Chlorophyceae; Chlamydomonadales; Dunaliellaceae
Description: eukaryotic LSU rRNA
Rfam family: 5.8S ribosomal RNA (bases 264-417)
Source: RNAcentral